UGUAACAAUUUUGUUGAUAGUAUUAUCAGACUUGUUGCAAGGUUGUUCCAACAAGUACGACACAGUCAUGAUAUAAAAAUAUUGUUACAACCUUGUGUCGUCAAUCUUGUAACAUCCUUGUUAUAUCAUGACUGCAUCAGACUUGUUAGAACAACCAUGUAACAAGUCUGAUAAUGCCACCAAGCUUGUUGCA
Non-coding RNA from Paramuricea clavata, 193 nucleotides. Lineage: Eukaryota; Metazoa; Cnidaria; Anthozoa; Malacalcyonacea; Plexauridae. The record is from the annotation of a GenBank genome assembly.